UACGGAGGGGGCAAGCGUUGUUCGGAUUUACUGGGCGUAAAGGGUGUGUAGGCGGCCGUGCAAGUCUGGUGUGAAAUCUUGAGCGCUUAACGCGAAGAGGUCACUGGAAACUGCGCGGCUCGAGUGUGGUAGAGGCAAGCGGAAUUCCUGGUGUAGCGGUGGAAUGUGUAGAUAUCAGGAAGAACACCGGUGGCGAAGGCGGCUUGCUGGGCCAUCACUGACGCUGAGACACGAAAGCGUGGGGAGCAAACGGG
Molecule: ribosomal RNA, 254 nt
Filed under: uncultured bacterium
Lineage: Bacteria
Description: partial 16S ribosomal RNA
Rfam family: Bacterial small subunit ribosomal RNA
Source: RNAcentral